This 611-nucleotide ribosomal RNA is filed under the name Candidozyma haemuli. RNAcentral describes it as "eukaryotic LSU rRNA". The stretch from base 149 to 611 matches the Rfam family "Eukaryotic large subunit ribosomal RNA", at positions 1 to 472 of the family's 3401-position model. The record is from RNAcentral. Lineage: Eukaryota; Fungi; Ascomycota; Pichiomycetes; Serinales; Metschnikowiaceae.
GCAGACGUGAAUCAUCGAAUCUUUGAACGCAUAUUGCGCCUUGGGGCAUUCCCCAAGGCAUGCCUGUUUGAGCGUGAUAUCUUCUCACCGUUGGUGGAUUUGUUUCUAAAUAUCAUGCCACAGUGAAGUCUACGCUUUCACUGCUUUUUCCCCUCAAAUCAGGUAGGACUACCCGCUGAACUUAAGCAUAUCAAUAAGCGGAGGAAAAGAAACCAACAGGGAUUGCCUCAGUAACGGCGAGUGAAGCGGCAAGAGCUCAACUUUGGAAUCGCUGCGGCGAGUUGUAGUCUGGAGGUGGCCGGUCCCGGCGCCAGCGCGCAGCCAAGUCCUUUGGAACAAGGCGCCUGAGAGGGUGACAGCCCCGUGGCAGUUUGUGCUGGUGCCGCCUCGGCCCACCGACGAGUCGAGUUGUUUGGGAAUGCAGCUCUAAGUGGGUGGUAAAUUCCAUCUAAAGCUAAAUACCGGCGAGAGACCGAUAGCGAACAAGUACAGUAAUGGAAAGAUGAAAAGCACUUUGAAAAGAGAGUGAAACAGUACGUGAAAUUGUUGGUCACAUUGAAUUAGCACCCAGACACGGCCUUCUGGCCGGGCCAGCAUCGGGUGGGAGGGAG